Molecule: ribosomal RNA, 425 nt
Filed under: uncultured bacterium
Lineage: Bacteria
Description: bacterial SSU rRNA
Rfam family: Bacterial small subunit ribosomal RNA
Source: RNAcentral
GGGCCCGCACAAGCGGUGGAGCAUGUGGUUUAAUUCGAUGAUACGCGAGGAACCUUACCAGGGCUUAAAUGUAAGUUGCAUGGAUCAGAGAUGAUCCUUUCUUCGGACCACUUACAAGGUGCUGCAUGGUUGUCGUCAGCUCGUGCCGUGAGGUGUCAGGUUAAGUCCUAUAACGAGCGCAACCCCUAUCGUUAGUUGCCAGCAAGUUAAGUUGGGUACUCUAGUGAGACUGCCGGUGACAAACCGGAGGAAGGCGGGGACGACGUCAAGUCAUCAUGGCCCUUACGAGUAGGGCUACACACGUGCUACAAUGGCAAGUACAGAGGGCCGCGAAGCCGCGAGGUGGAGCUAAUCUCACAAAGCUUGUCGUAGUCCGGAUUGGAGUCUGCAACUCGACUCCAUGAAGUCGGAAUCGCUAGUAAUCG